GUUUGAUGUUACUUCUGCUGGUUCUGGUGACCCAUGAAGCUGUCCUAGCUUCGCAGUGUCACCGUGUCGUGCCAACUCCUUGGCUUCUGGGUGUGGGGAGAGGGGAGCUGCUGGCUCCUUCUCCUUCCCCUCCCCCAAGAUUUAUGAAGCUUGGUAUUCUCCUAACACUAGGCCACCAAAAAUGAAAACUAUCUGCUGCAGGUGGAUACUUGUAGCUACCAUGCAGCAAGGGGGGAUUCUUUCCUCUUUUUGUAGAAGGAUGAUUGGGGAAAAGCUAGGCACUGUGUCCUGAGGUGCCAGGGGAUCUGAUUCUGAUGAAAAGUAAAAAGGAACAGAAAUGGCAGGAUGCAAAAGCCAAAGACAAACUUCCACUCUGCAUUUUGUCCUUGGGUUCUACUAUGAUCCGUGACCUUCCCUGACGUGUACCACAACCACGGUUCAACGCGUACAUUGAUGUCUGGAGUAAAAUCCACACAAGAUGCAUUUUCACCACAGCAUCUGGUUCUCUGGGAACCCCAUGGCCUGCUUUCUUGCUGCCUUUAACCUUUUGUCUGAAGUAUGUUCUGGCAGCCAAAGAUGUGUCUGAAUUACUUUGUGUUUUCAGGAAUCCCACUUUCCCUUCACUCAUAAAAUCUGCAACCUGGUGUAGGGAUGUUUGCAAUGUGUUUCCCCCGGUCCUUACAUUUUGGGGGAGGGUCAUGGAGCUAUUCGCUUCACAUCCACCCACAUCUCAGUCCUCAUCCCACCCAGAGAUUGAGGUUUCCUUUGUCAAUAGUCUGUACUCAAAACCACAAACCCUAUGGUGAUCAGUGAAACCAUGUCUUGCUUGAUGAAUGAGGUAGCUAGUAGAUCUCUGUCCUUUUGUGAAAAGAAUAUAAAAUGAAGCAAAUCUUAAAAGGAAAACCUGUACUGUUUUUAAGAGCAAAAGUGCUCAAGUUUAAAAAAAAAAUACGUUAGAUCUGUUACACUAUUGUUGGCAUCAGACCUAGGAGCUUUGUUAUAUUAAAAACAUCUUCUACAAAAGCAACCAAUUUAAGAAGAGUACGAAGAGCCUAAAAUAUAUAUCUCUCAAGCAUCUUCCUUACAGAAGCAGAACCAAAUGUUAUAUAAUGUGAAUGAGAUAAAACCACAAUCAGUGGCCUUCCUCCUCCAAACGGAGGGGACUUCUCAAA
This is a long non-coding RNA of Canis lupus familiaris (dog), 1172 nucleotides long. RefSeq lists it as uncharacterized. The record is from RefSeq and is a predicted model, not a curated record. The transcript is spliced from 3 exons. NCBI's taxonomy places the organism in Eukaryota, Metazoa, Chordata, Mammalia, Carnivora, Canidae.